UUUUUUUUUUUUUUUUUGUGUAUUUGAUUGGAGAAGUUUUCUUGACAUGAUGAUUGUCUUCAAUGCUAGAGCGGGCUCUUGCGAUUGCGAAGACGAUGUUGCAACAACUAUACAUCUUCGGCAACCACGUAGCUGUAUCAUGUCAUGUGUGGUAGUACUUGCAUUAAGUGUUUACAAUUGUGAAAAUAACAAUAAUGUGUAUUUAGACAGAAGAUUAUUCGGCUAAUUUUUCUUUUAACACAAUAUUGUUACACUUUUCAACGACGGUGAUAAAAUUAUAUAUGAUUGACGAGAUAAAAAAGUUGAUUGAAGAAAAAGCAUUUAUGCUGUGAAGUAAUCGAUUUUUUUUUAACAAAUAGUGCCCUAUCAGAAAGGGAGAUUGUUGUAAAUAAAUGGAUUUUGUCUCACAUUGGAAAAUCAAAGAGAUGGUAGCUGAGAUGGUUUCGCGUUCAUGAGAGGGAAGCUGAGUUGGGCCGAGUUCUGCUCUCUUAUGUCUUACAAGAAGUAAAAUUUACAUUUACAGAAAAGGAGGAUCAUAAUUUGCUCUAUCUUUCUUAUUACCGUGGAUAAAAAUAAAAAAUAAAAAUGUUGGGAGUCAGUCCAAUUCCGUGAGAAAAAAAGUAGGGAAAAAAGCGAAAAAAUGAACUCAAAUAUUAGUGGCCAUCUGAAAAGUCAAAAGUAACCAAGGAUUUUGUUGGGAGUAUAUAAAACAAUUUUUUUUUUUACUAUAUUUGUGUGUUUGAAGUGAGUUUCCUGCCUAAAUUGUGAAUAAGUCAGAAAACUUUGUUGUUUCUUCUUUCGUACAAGGUAUUGAAUAAAUUUGAUAAAUCUUGGGAUUUAAUUCAUAAUCAAAAAGGGCGAGGGACAAGGGAUCUCUAAAUGAAUGAAUCUUCGGACAAUUUAACUUUAAUUUGCUCAACUAUUUUCAACUAUAAAAGAAUUAUAAUUUCUACCUUCCAUGCAAUUAAGCUGUAAAUUUAAUGGAAAUAAUUUGAUUUUUGUGCAGUCAUGAAAUCAUUAAGUGGGAUUUGUGAGCUUCUGAGUGGAAAAAUCUUUUUACUUUCCUUGAAAUCAAUCUGCAAAUUCUGUAAAAGGGUUUUAAGCUAACAAUAACAUCACAAUUUACAACAUAGAAAAGUAGUAGAAGUCGAACUUCUAGAAAUGUAUUUUGCUUAUGUUCUUUUUAAUCAUGCUUAAUUGGUGAAUUGAUUUUCACUAUGUGGAUGUGGAUGUGCCGGAAUUAAUCUCUCCUGUGUAGUGGAACCACAUUAAAUUACAGAGCGCUCUUAUUUACUUAUUUUAUUUCCAUUUAUUUACUUUCUUUUUUUUUUUUGUUUAAAAAAGAAUCCAAACCUUGGAGGGGUAGGAGAAAAAUGGAUGGUUUAAAAGUUGAACUACAAACUUCAUGACAUUUUAGCUAAUGUGAUGUCUCUAUGGAUUAAGUUUCAAGGACACGGCAUGUAUAAUUUCAUGAAAUCACGAAUAUCAACAUAUGCUUAUGUAAUUGGUAGGAAUUCGAAACUCUUUUGGAUUCGAAACUCAUAGAAAUAGAAAUGACUACGAACUUGCAUCCUUCAAUUAUGAAUUAUUCUUGGAUUCGAAACUCAUGAAAAUAGAAAUGAUCAUGUUAGAAGAGCUUCCCCGCAUCGCAGACGAUAAGACAAACGCGGAUACAUGUGAUUUAUAAAAAAAAAGAUAAGAAAAGAAUUGCGAACAACGUACACGAAAUUAUACGUUCCCAUGUCGAAGUACUUUUACAGGGAGAGCCAUAGUUGGUCCCUGGGUCUAGUCCACCUAAUUCUUAGGCGUUCCUCUUCCAGUCCUUGGACAAGUGUCCGAAUUUGGUCAAGAUCAGUCCAAUCACCCUAACAGCAUUUAACGCUUUAUCAUUUCACAUAACCCAAAUCAUGCCACGGCGGUGUUUUACUGCAAGGUCAUAGCUCAUUCAAGAGUUAAUUAUGUCCUGGCCAAAUGACAGAGGCUUUGGGACCAAGUUGAAAUCCAAACAAGUUUUGCCACGGAAUCUUUCCUUUCCCCUUAUCAUAUUCCCACACAAAUUGUGAUUGAAUCAAUUUGGAAGAGAUGCAUUUUGUUUAUGUUAUUGUUUGUCCCCAGUUCCUUGCAGCUUCCACAUGCAAAGGAAGAGAGAAAAGGCAGGGCUAGGUUCAAUCCCUCCCACCCCCCAAACCUCAAAAAAAUGUCAGGAUACUCAUAUCUGACAACCUCCAAUUUAGAUACUACUAAUAAGAACCCAUAUAUAGCAUAUACUAAGCCACCACCCCAAUUGGCAGGCAGGAUUACUAUUUACUAGCUGAAUAACAAAUUGAAGCUAAGGGAAAGACAACUAGAUUUUCACAAUAAAUGCACUUAAUUUGACUCUUGUGCCUGAAUCACAAUUCCCAAAGAAUGCAUCUAUAUUGUAGGAGAGGCCAAACCUCAAGCAAAGUUUGAGAAAUAGAUGCCAAAAGGGGUGCUCUUCAUGCGACGCAGACACCCAUUAACACACACAAAUGACACCAUAGUGUAGUUAUUAAUGAGGAAACAACCCGGUGCCCUAUUCCCCACUAAAGAAGAAAUGAGGAUUUUCAAACUUUAUAGCAUACAUGCAUUGAUACCUGGAAAGAUCUUAACAGAUGAUUAUCAAUUGGUCUGUAUCUUCAUAUAAUUUGCUACAAACAUGUACAAAUUGAAACCACAUAAUAAUCAGAUUACUGCAACAAGGUCAUCGACCAGGAAUCCUAAACACCAAAACUUUUCAAAGUUUCUGUAGGUACCUCAUCGCUACCAAUGCUAAGAGCAAAGCUUAAUAUUUUCCAGAAAAUACUACUAUUAUAUUUAUUUGAAGGCAUUUUGAUGUAGAUAAAAGGUGACUCGAA
This 2876-nucleotide long non-coding RNA is filed under the name Coffea arabica (coffee). Its description in RNAcentral is "long non-coding RNA (CARA_LNC004082)". Lineage: Eukaryota; Viridiplantae; Streptophyta; Magnoliopsida; Gentianales; Rubiaceae. The record is from RNAcentral.